Molecule: ribosomal RNA, 233 nt
Filed under: Enterococcus faecium
Lineage: Bacteria; Bacillati; Bacillota; Bacilli; Lactobacillales; Enterococcaceae
Description: partial 23S ribosomal RNA
Rfam family: Bacterial large subunit ribosomal RNA
Source: RNAcentral
GCUUCGUGAGCCGCGGGCGCCGCAUGGAAGGGCCAGCGCGCAACGGAUAAAAGCUACCCUGGGGAUAACAGGCUUAUCUCCCCCAAGCGUCCACAUCGACGGGGAGGUUUGGCACCUCGAUGGCGGCUCGUCGCAUCCUGGGGCUGUAGUCGGUCCCAAGGGUUGGGCUGUGCGCCCAUUAAAGCGGCACGCGAGCUGGGUGCAGAACGUCGUGAGACAGUUCGGUCCCUAUC